This is a non-coding RNA of Oryza sativa Japonica Group (Japanese rice), 2068 nucleotides long. The record is from RefSeq and is a predicted model, not a curated record. Lineage: Eukaryota; Viridiplantae; Streptophyta; Magnoliopsida; Poales; Poaceae.
GUUUAUUCCAAUCUUCUCAGUCUCUCUAUUCCCCACGCUUUUUACAAGCGUCGGCUCACCUUUCCUUUUACUUUCUCUAUCGACAGCUCUAUCCCAGGAAGCCACAAAGCCAGCUAGCACCACCAUGGUUUUGCCUCCCUCUCGAACAGCUCCACAGCGAGGAUUUCUGGUGCUUGGUGAACAGUGUGUCCCCUUGUUGGCGACGUUGGAUCUGGAAGUGAGGGGUCAGAGGAGGAGCAUGCUGCCCAUCUCCACCGGAUCUGGCUGGACUCCCCUCUCCGGUGACCUCUCUCCCCAGGCGGCAGCGUUCAGAUCAGCCCCUCAGCAGACGUGAGGCGCGAGCCAUCGGCGGAGGGCUCCAUGGAGGCGGCGUCCUGGCCUCCUGGGGGUCGGCGGAGUGGCCUCGGCGACGGCGUAUCUUGUGCCGCUGGCACUCACCUCUCCCUCGCCAUCUUCCUCCGCCACCACUGCCCCUCCUCAUCGGACGACGAGCUUGAUGGUGGCGGCGCAAGAGCAAGCCAGGGUCAGUCGUUCCUUACACCCCUUGCCUUUGCCCCCCACUCUCGCCAGAUGGCGAGCUAGAUGGUGCCGGCGCCCCUGCUCUCCUUUCCUGGCCGGCCAUGAGGUGGGGUGGCAGAUUGGAAGAAGGGGGCGACAACCUCGACGACGGCUGCCCACAUCAGCGGUGGAGCGGAUCUAGAGUGGCCACGGGACAGUAUAGCAAUAUUGGAACCAAGGACUAUACAUCUAAAUUAUCAGUGUGCUGAGGUUCGUGAUAGUGCUCUGCUGAAGAAUGUGGAGAUUAUUGCAAAAAGACUCACUAAUGCAUCCGUGAUUUAAGGUACUUCUGGUAGCAUUGGAGUCUAUAAAAUUUCCCUACACAUCUUUGAUUUAAAAUAUUUUGCUUUAUGCAUGUGUAUAGAAUUGGAUCCUUUCUCAACAAUAAUAUAAGCUUAUGAACAUGAAAUUCUGAAAAAUCAUCAAGAUAUAUCUUUCUUAAUCUAAAGAGUUAUGAUGAUCAGGUCAAUUUUUUUUUCAGAAUUAAGUUCGGUUGCAUGGCUAAAUUGGAACCUAUUGUACUUGCUAUGCUCCGUUGUAAUGCUUUGGAAUUUUUAAGAGCUCCAUACGGAUAUCUGCUGAUGUGGAUUGGUAUAAGUGUUGGCUAUGACAUUGUUUUCAGGCAAUUGGCAAUGUCAUGCUGCAUUGCGAACCUUCUUAUUACCCUUUGAUGGGUUGGAGGUAUAGAAUCGAGAUGAUUGCCAAAAAUAUUCAGGUAAUUACUGCCAAUAAAUAAGAAUAAAAGCAGAGCAGACAUAAGGUAAAAAGAAAGCAGAAAGACAUUCAUCUAGUCGUGUUGUAUUUACUUGCUAGCAGUGUGGUUUUUAGAGCAUGAUUAAAAAUUGCAAUAAUUAAACGAUGGUUCAUCUGUCUGCACAGUUAAUGUUUUUCUGCAUAAAAUUGCUCUUGCUGCAAUUACCAAUACUUUUUCUUUCUUCUAGUAAUAUAUAAAGCCACUUAAAAAAGAGAUUUUCAUGUUUGGGUUUGCAACUCCUAGAUUUUGUGGUGGUAUGUCAUGAAAAUAGCCGCUGAACAACUAAAAAAUAUGCCUGUUGCUAACUUGCUAGUUUUAUUCAAUAUUAAUCUUAUAAAUCUAAUGAAAUUGAAAUUGCAUUCAGGGUUGAGUUCAUUGAUAACCUGGAAUCGACAUUGAUUGGAGGUGGCUUGACAUCCUAGAGGAAGAGCCUUGUGAUCUAUAUUUUCUUGUGUGCUUCUAUUAUUUGUAUUGCCUGUGAUCAUAUUUGUGUAUUUUGUCCUGCGAGAAAAAUCUAUAAAAUCACGUUAGUGGGAGUGCUAGCUAAAUAUAGCGGAAAGAAAAGCGGGAUAGAAUCUGACUCGGGAUAGAAUCUAACUCCUGACUUGGGCUGGGCAAACAGAAGCAGAAAACGGUGUGGGCGAACCAACCUGACUCGUAUGCGAUAUUGUUUUCUUGCGUGAACCUGGUAAACCUGGACUCUGGUUUUUCUAUAUUUUGUGUGUGACCUGGACUUCUGUGUUUUUUGUGCGUGAA